This 254-nucleotide ribosomal RNA is filed under the name uncultured bacterium. RNAcentral describes it as "partial 16S ribosomal RNA". It matches the Rfam family "Bacterial small subunit ribosomal RNA", at positions 524 to 776 of the family's 1533-position model. The record is from RNAcentral.
UACGUAGGGGGGCAAGCGUUGUCCGGAUUCAUUGGGCGUAAAGAGCGUGUAGGCGGCCAGGUAGGUCGGUUGUGAAAACUGGAGGCUCAACCUUCAGAGGUCGACCGAAACCAUCUGGCUAGAGUCCGGGAGAGGAGAGUGGAAUUCUUGGUGUAGCGGUGAAAUGCGUAGAUAUCAAGAGGAACACCUGAGGUGAAGACGGGUUGCUGGGCUGACACUGACGCUGAUGCGCGAAAGCUAGGGGAGCAAACGGG